AUGGCUGCCCUGGAAUUUGGUAAACUCACAUCCUUUGAGGCAAGCAGGCAUCAGAUAAGCAUCUCAUCUACCUCCAAGAUGAGAUCAGUAGUUGACAAAGGCAAAAAAUGAAGAGUGAUAAAAAGUCAUGAGAAAAAUCUACAGUACCACUAACAGAAUAGAAAGACAGGUUUUGAAAUAGGUGUGUUGUCAUCGAACUGUUACUUCAGAGCAGUACUCCUUCUUUCUCCUCAUUCACAACAAUGAACCAAGGAACGUUUGCUUUGAUGAAAAGAAUAGCUCUUAAAAAUCAAAAUGUUUUAUCCAAAAAUGAAACAAAAACAUCAUUGAUGUAACUAAUGAACGAAUGCAGUCAAGAA
This 359-nucleotide long non-coding RNA is filed under the name Homo sapiens (human). RNAcentral's name for it is "HSALNT0153266". The record is from RNAcentral. Lineage: Eukaryota; Metazoa; Chordata; Mammalia; Primates; Hominidae.